This is a long non-coding RNA of Populus trichocarpa (black cottonwood), 365 nucleotides long. RefSeq lists it as uncharacterized. The record is from RefSeq and is a predicted model, not a curated record. The transcript has 2 exons. NCBI's taxonomy places the organism in Eukaryota, Viridiplantae, Streptophyta, Magnoliopsida, Malpighiales, Salicaceae.
GCCAGAUUAGAAUAUAGAUGACUAGUAAAGUUGUUCCGCGUGUCUUUGCCUCUAAAACUAAGGAACACAUCAUACAUAUAUAGUGGAGGAGGAGAAGAUGAAGAUGAGGUUAUUCCUUGCACGCUGGUGGAAGCCAUGAAAAUCCCUAUAGCAAUAAACUAGUACCGAUCCCUUCUGGCCUCAACUAGCUCGCUUGGUUCAGCAAUUGCUUUCCACGCUAUUUUGUGUAAGGCCUGCUCCUGUGCUCAAACAUGAAACAGAAGGUAAGAUCAAGAAAUUUGGCAAUUAAAUCUACCAAUUAGCAAUUUCAAGCUGGAACAUGUACAAUUCUACUUAGAAAUCAGAAAGCACCAAAUUUCUACCAA